RNAcentral lists this ribosomal RNA (465 nucleotides) under uncultured bacterium. RNAcentral describes it as "bacterial SSU rRNA". It matches the Rfam family "Bacterial small subunit ribosomal RNA", at positions 330 to 793 of the family's 1533-position model. The record is from RNAcentral.
UCCAGACUCCUACGGGAGGCAGCAGUGAGGAAUAUUGGUCAAUGGGCGGGAGCCUGAACCAGCCAAGUCGCGUGAAGGAAGAAGGUACUUAGUAUUGUAAACUUCUUUUGUCGGGGAACAAAGGCGGAGACGCGUCUCCGGAUGAGUGUACCCGAAGAAAAAGCAUCGGCUAACUCCGUGCCAGCAGCCGCGGUAAUACGGAGGAUGCGAGCGUUAUCCGGAUUUAUUGGGUUUAAAGGGUGCGUAGGCGGGCUGUUAAGUCAGCGGUCAAAUGUCGGGGCUCAACCCCGGCCUGCCGUUGAAACUGGCGGCCUCGAGUGGGCGAGAAGUAUGCGGAAUGCGUGGUGUAGCGGUGAAAUGCACAGAUAUCACGCAGAACUCCGAUUGCGAAGGCAGCAUACCGGCGCCCUACUGACGCUGAGGCACGAAAGCGUGGGUAUCGAACAGGAUUAGAUACCCCUGUAG